Long non-coding RNA from Xenopus laevis (African clawed frog), 438 nucleotides. RefSeq lists it as uncharacterized. Lineage: Eukaryota; Metazoa; Chordata; Amphibia; Anura; Pipidae. The transcript has 3 exons. The record is from RefSeq and is a predicted model, not a curated record.
AUAUGCAUCCCCAAGGAUUGGAAGUGUGUCCACCAAAGAACCCUACAUGCAGUGGAUGUUACUGGGCACAACAGCAAAUUAAUUUUAUUGCCCCCAACAUAUCCAGAGAUAGAGCUGGGAGCUGUGCCCUGAAGAUUAAAGCAAACUUCAUGUGCUUGGAUUGAGAAUGUGGAGACACUGUGGAUGUCUGUACCAGCUCUGUGUGAGUCCCGGUGAGUCUGACUGAGGGAGAUAUUGAAACUCCAGCGUGUUCCAUGGAUGAAAACAGGUGUUGUCCGUGUGCCUGCUACGUGGGAGCAACUACUCUGUCCAACAGGAGAGGGGAACAACUGAUGGAAUAUCCCAUUUAUCCAGAUGAGACCGUUACAUAUAUUUGGCAAGUGACUCAAGGAGAUGCCCCAUUGUCAUCUGAUCCACGUUGUCUAACAAGACUGAACU